GUAUUGGUAGUUCAGUGAUAGACUUCUCACCUUCCAUGUGGGAGACCUAGGUUCAAAUCCCAGCCAAUGCA
RNAcentral lists this transfer RNA (71 nucleotides) under Loxodonta africana (African savanna elephant). It matches the Rfam family "tRNA". Rfam says of the family: Transfer RNA (tRNA) molecules are approximately 80 nucleotides in length. The record is from Rfam by way of RNAcentral. Lineage: Eukaryota; Metazoa; Chordata; Mammalia; Proboscidea; Elephantidae.